CCCUUAGAUGUUCUGGGCCGCACGCGCGCUACACUGACGGAGGCAGCGAGCGUGUCCUUCGCCGGCAGGUGCGGGCAAUCUUGCGAGUCUCCGUCGUGCUGGGGAUAGAUGGUUGCAAUUGUCGAUCUUGAACGAGGAAUUCCUAGUAAGCGCGAGUCAUCAGCUCGCGCUGAUUACGUCCCUACCCUUUGUACACACCGCCCGUCGCUACUACAGAGUGCCCGUGUCCAAGAAACGGUCGGACCUGUGCGGCCUCUCCGGGCGACCGGAGGGCCGUUACGGGGAAGACCCUUUAUUUGACGCGGGUCGAUGAAGUAAAAGUCGUAACA
Molecule: ribosomal RNA, 329 nt
Filed under: uncultured eukaryote
Lineage: Eukaryota
Description: partial 18S ribosomal RNA
Rfam family: Eukaryotic small subunit ribosomal RNA
Source: RNAcentral